RNAcentral lists this transfer RNA (72 nucleotides) under Camelus dromedarius (Arabian camel). It matches the Rfam family "tRNA". From Rfam's summary of the family: Transfer RNA (tRNA) molecules are approximately 80 nucleotides in length. The record is from Rfam by way of RNAcentral. Lineage: Eukaryota; Metazoa; Chordata; Mammalia; Artiodactyla; Camelidae. RNAcentral also lists the same sequence under 1 other name.
AGAGUUAUAGCUCAGUGGUGGAGCUCAUGCUUAGCAUGCACAAGGUCCUGGGUUCAUUCCCUAGUACCUCUG